AUGAGUACUACAUUCUUUGACAAUUAUAAGGCAGCUGAAGAAUUAGGAGCAUUGAGGAAUGCAGGAUACCUCCAAAUUUUUAUAUUAAUAGGUACUGUCAUUUUUGUACUCCUCAAUACUAUAUUUAGAGAUGCUAAAAUAAAAAAAAUUGAGGAUAAAAUAGAAAAAAAUGAGGAUAAAAUAGAAAAUAUUGAGGAUAAAAUAGAAAAUAUUGAGGAUAAAAUAGAAAAUAUUGAGGAUAAAAUAGAAAAAAUUGAGGAUAAAAUAGAAAAUAUUGAGGAUAAAAUAGGAAAAAUUGAGGAUAAAAUGCAAGCCCAAUUAGAAGAUCUAAAAAGUUUCUUACAGGAUCAAUUGGCAAACACCCACUCUACCAGAAACAGACCUGUUUCUGAACCUUUGAAUGAGGAAAUUUCCUUCCCUGAAAUAGAGAUGGAAAACACCUUCCCUAUAGCCCAGUUAACAGACUGCUUCUCUUGUGCAGUGCAAAUCUUGACUGAAUUUAAUCCCCAAAACCCUUCCCCUGAAAUCCCAGUUUCUCAUGUUCCCUCUCCUACAGAAAACCAAAUUCCAACGCAAAGGAGAUCUCAUCCUCCUAGAGAAACCUGUCCUUGUCAAACUGACCCACAGGUACAAAAUUCAACUAGAGGCCUGUUUCCUCUAAGAGAAGUACCUGAAAUAGGAAGGAAUGGGGAUGCGGUGACUUUAAGACAUAGGAUACCAUUUACUCCCCAAGAAAUAAGUGAAUUUACACGAAAUAUCCCCACAUAUGAACAAGAUCCCUUUCUAGUAACAAAAAAGAUGGGAGACAUAUUUUUUCAGUAUAAUCCAUUUUACAAGGACAUUGAGAACUUGCUACAGGCUUUUUUAACUGAACAUGAAAAAAAUAAAAUAAUUGCUCAUGUCAACAAAACCCAGAGGCAUAAUGCAGCACAUUGGCCAUCUCAGGAUCCCAAAUGGGACUAUAACAAUCCUGAGGAUUAUCUACAACUAUACCAUUGUAGAGAGGCCAUCCUUACGGCAAUGAAGGAAUGUGCAGACACUACAGAUAAGUGGAUGGAACUUGAAAAAUUAAGCAAAAGGAGGAAGAAACACCCUCCAGAUUCAUGGAUAGAAUAA
RNAcentral lists this long non-coding RNA (1116 nucleotides) under Monodelphis domestica (gray short-tailed opossum). RNAcentral describes it as "lncRNA (ENSMODG00000046937.1)". The record is from RNAcentral. Lineage: Eukaryota; Metazoa; Chordata; Mammalia; Didelphimorphia; Didelphidae.